This 153-nucleotide ribosomal RNA is filed under the name uncultured Campylobacterota bacterium. Its description in RNAcentral is "uncultured Epsilonproteobacteria bacterium partial 16S ribosomal RNA". It matches the Rfam family "Bacterial small subunit ribosomal RNA", at positions 355 to 525 of the family's 1533-position model. The record is from RNAcentral. Lineage: Bacteria; Pseudomonadati; Campylobacterota.
UGGGGAAUAUUGCACAAUGGGGGAAACCCUGAUGCAGCAACGCCGCGUGGAGGAAGAAGCACUUAGGUGUGUAAACUCCUUUUAUAGCCGAAGAAGAUGACGGUAGGCUAUGAAUAAGCACCGGCUAACUCCGUGCCAGCAGCCGCGGUAAUA